AGUGAACGCUGGCGGUAGGCCUAACACAUGCAAGUCGAACGGCAGCACAGUAAGAGCUUGCUCUUACGGGUGGCGAGUGGCGGACGGGUGAGGAAUACAUCGGAAUCUACUUUUUCGUGGGGGAUAACGUAGGGAAACUUACGCUAAUACCGCAUACGACCUACGGGUGAAAGCAGGGGAUCUUCGGACCUUUCGCGAUUGAAUGAGCCGAUGUCGGAUUAGCUAGUUGGCGGGGUAAAGGCCCACCAAGGCGACGAUCCGUAGCUGGUGUGAGAGGAUGGUCAGCCACACUGGAACUGAGACACGGUCCAGACUCCUACGGGAGGCAGCAGUGGGGAAUAUUGGACAAUGGGCGCAAGCCUGAUCCAGCCAUACCGCGUGGGUGAAGAAGGCCUUCGGGUUGUAAAGCCCUUUUGUUGGGAAAGAAAAGCAGCAGGUUAAUACCCCGCUGUUCUGACGGUACCCAAAGAAUAAGCACCGGCUAACUUCGUG
Molecule: ribosomal RNA, 492 nt
Filed under: uncultured bacterium
Lineage: Bacteria
Description: partial 16S ribosomal RNA
Rfam family: Bacterial small subunit ribosomal RNA
Source: RNAcentral